AAGAGUGCAGCAGGAGAGAGCAGACUCCCCUGGACCCAGCUGUGUCUCCAUGAAGAGUGACUGGUCUAUGGAUAAUCCUCGGAACUUUAAAGAUGGAAAUCAGUCUACUGAGAAGAGGUGAUGAUAUGUCAAAGAUUAUAAAACUACAGCAUCUAUCAAAUAUCCUGAUCCUGACCAUAUAUCCUGAUUCUUGUUUUUGUAGAAGAGUGCAGCAGGAGAGAGCAGACUCCCCUGGACCCAGCUGUGUCUCCAUGAAGAGUGACAGCUCUAUGGACUAUCCUCAGAACUUUAAAGAUGGAAAUCAGUCUAUUGAGAAGAGAAGAGUGCAGAAGGAGAGAGCAGACUCCCCUGGACCCAGCUGUGUCUCCAUGAAGAGUGACGCGUCUAUGGGAAUUCCUUUGAACUUUAAAGAUUCACGCCCCUCCAGAAAGGAAGGGCGAUCCCAGGAGAGGUCAAAGGUUUCCAGUGCUCAGUCUGUACUGCAGAAUCAAACAGAGCUGAUCAAGAGGGCUGAGGAGAACGCACAUACUUUUCUAGACAAGGAGCUGAAGAAGCUCUGGAGGGAUCUCUUCUCAGAUUACCCACAAUGCUCAGAGAGUCGGAGGGAAGUGGAGGAGGAGGAUGGUAAGAACGAGGAGCAGAGGAGGCGCGCCAUAGAGGGAGUGGUAGACAUCACAAAGCUCUGCCUGAUGGAGAUGAACCAGGAGGAACUGGCCGACAAGCUGUGGAGUGGUAAGAUACUCAUAUAGGUUAAAUGGUUUGAUCCAAAUAUGUAGGGUUAUUGUGGGCCAUCAGGUUAAAUUGAUUGAUCCAUACAUGUACGGUUAUUGUGGGGGUAUCAAAUUGAAUGGUUUGAUACAGAUAUGUAGGGUGGGGGUAUUAGGUUAAAGUAUGUUAAACAUUAUACUGCAGAUCAAUGUCAGAAUUACUCAGUGGAAGAGAUGCACUACUAUCUUGUUAUAUCAGGUUAGGAAGUCACUUUCUGCUGAUACUAGGGGUGCAACGGAUCACAAAACUCACGGUUCGGAUCGUGUCACGGUUUUUGAGUCACGGGUCGGAUUAUUUUCGGAUCAACAACAAUAAAGAUAAUAAGACAAAUGUGACUUUAAAUAAAAUCUUAAAAUGUGUAAAAACUUAAUAAAGUGAAAAAUUAGGUAAUAAUCCUGCUUCCUUUAAAGGAGCAUUUCACCGGUGGAGGCAUGAAUAUGUAUUGAAAUUGGGUCCUAUAUGUAGUCGAAUAAUAAAAUACAAUUCUAAUUUGGUGCCGUCUUGACCGAGAAAAGGCAGAAAGUGACUUUUUGGCGCUUGUGGAUUGAAGACAAUAACACCCACCGUGCACCACGAUGCACAGCUUCGCUGGCCACUCCCGCUGAUCUAGAUCUCCGCCUCCCGUUCCUCUCUCAGCCUCAGCUGCUCGUCGCUAUAUUGCGGCUCGUAAAGGUAGCCACAAACAUCUGAUUCGAGCAUCAGAUCUUCAAAAUCCCCAUCUUCUAUAUCAGAUCCAGUACCUUCCGCCAUUGUACUUCAGUUUUAUCAACAGCCUCUGUUAGCUUAGUUUCAGAGGCUGUGGAUGUUAAUUUCUGCUGGUGAAAACCCACCCACUGGCACUGCUCUAAUAGGUCUGUAGCGUCAAUGGGUGCUUGUAGUCUUACGAGAAUCCUCCCCUCUUACACCUCCUAUUUACUUCUACGCAAAAAUCGUCAUAUUGCGUCAUCUUAAACAGGAAGUGUUGGAGAUCGAUACGGAUCUCUCCAGUCUCUCCAGAAAAUAAGGGAAUGAUGCACGACCAUUCAAAAAUAUGAGUGUGUUUCCAACGAUACAAAGCUUAAUGGAAAUGGGUGAAGUUUCCCUGUAAGCAUAGUCAAUAUUUAAAAAAAUUGCAAUCUGAGGCAUUAUUCCUUCUUCUUUUUAACAUGGAUAGUAAAUAAUCCCUAACCCUGGAUUUACAAUUCAGGAUGUCUGCAUUGCCUGGGGAGAGUUUAAAGUCUACACUCUCCAAAGGCAAUGCAGACAUCCUCAUCUUUUUUUUUUUCAUCAAGUAUGGUAGCGAAAUACAGUUUCUGUCUUGUUUUAUUUGGCACAUUGUAAAUCCAUUGAUUUCGGAUGGAAGACUCAUUGCUCAUUGCAAAGGGGGUUGUUUGUAGUCUUUUCGCUCGGUUCUAGUUCUACUGUUGAUACGGAGAACCGAGCGAAAAGACUACAACCAAACAUAAACAUGUCCGGUUACGGUUCCGGUUACCGUUUCAAUGGGAUUUAGGGAACGCCAAAUAAAACACAACAGAAACUGAAUUUCGCUACAAUACUUGAUGAUGUUGUUAAUACCGGAAUUGUCCUUUCAACAAGCGCUGAUCAAGUGAACGCACAACUCUAUUUUUUAUUAGCCGAUCCGCGGAUCAAUUUCGUCCCGAACCGUGAGGGUUGAUCCAUACGGAUCACGGGUAACCCGUGAACCGUUGCACCACUAGCUGAUACUCAAAAAUGAUAGCACUACUAACAAAGUUAUAAGAUCCAUAUGAAGUAGGAUUUAGAAUACUUACUUCAUAACAC
Long non-coding RNA from Gadus morhua (Atlantic cod), 2547 nucleotides. The record is from Ensembl. NCBI's taxonomy places the organism in Eukaryota, Metazoa, Chordata, Actinopteri, Gadiformes, Gadidae.